CAGUAGCCACGGUAAUACGUAGGUGGCAAGCGUUGUCCGGAAUUAUUGGGCGUAAAGCGCGCGCAGGUGGUUUAAUAAGUCUGAUGUGAAAGCCCGCGGCUCAACCGUGGAGGGUCAUUGGAAACUGUUAAACUUGAGUGCAGAAGAGGAGAGUGGAAUUCCAUGUGUAGCGGUGAAAUGCGUAGAGAUGUGGAGGAACACCAGUGGCGAAGGCGACUCUCUGGUCUGUAACUGACGCUGAGGAGCGAAAGCGUGGGGAGCGAACAGGAUUAGAUACCCGUGUAGUCCCUGUCUCUUAUAC
Molecule: ribosomal RNA, 301 nt
Filed under: uncultured bacterium
Lineage: Bacteria
Description: partial 16S ribosomal RNA
Rfam family: Bacterial small subunit ribosomal RNA
Source: RNAcentral